Vicia villosa (hairy vetch) is the source of this 1831-nucleotide long non-coding RNA. RefSeq lists it as uncharacterized. NCBI's taxonomy places the organism in Eukaryota, Viridiplantae, Streptophyta, Magnoliopsida, Fabales, Fabaceae. The transcript is spliced from 3 exons. The record is from RefSeq and is a predicted model, not a curated record.
UUAUCCACCCAAAAAAGAAAUAAUGCAACACUAUGCAUGCGGCGUCUAAAAUAGUGUUUAGAAAAAGAAGAGUCAUAAACCCUAGAUAUGAAAGCGGGAAACAUCACCACCUUGCAACGUCUUGCUCCGCUUGUGCUCCGGUUCCUAUUUAACGUGGAAUAUGUUAAUGGAGACUCUUUCUACCAUAGUUUAAUCAUGAAAAAGUGUUGGGCCCUUUGUUGCGGGUCGUGGCAUUUUCUCAAAGACGGCCCGGUUCAUAAUGUGAUAAUGAUGGUGUUCAUGAAGUAGUACCAUGUUUACAUAAAUAUCCAAGAAUAACCCUUUUCACUGAUCGUUCAAGAAUGGCAGAGAAGUUUGUUGUUGAUCUGAUAGAAAGUGCUCGAUAAAUUAGACAAAGCUGGAUUUGAAUGCAAAACAUUGGGCCUUAUAUCCAUCAGGUUUCUUACAAUAUUUUGUAGAUUGCGUAAUAUCAUUGACUUAUAUCGUAAACUUCAUUAAUGGUUGAUGCUCCCAAUAACUGUGGUGAAGUUGUAACUUGCGUUAAAUUACUGUGUCCUGAUUAACUCUGGGGUUUUAAUUUUUCCUGUUCAGAACAUUUCUUACAGAAGAAAGCUAGCAGUUUUAUGAUGAUUGAACUCGAUCUUACUUAAAGUAUGUCUGUUCAGUCCCCGUAAUGUAUAUUGAUCUAGGAUUUAACAUUUAAAUUUGUUAUGGUGGCCCUCCUGAGCUUUAUAAUUUUUCUCUUUAACGCAGUGAAAAUCAAUAUUAUAUGAGUGAAUAAAUUAUAUUGUAACUGUUAUAACCCAGAUGAAAUAGUUUGAAACUUUGAAUGAUCUUAUCUUUUAUGGCACAAUAGGGAUAAGCAGUAUUGUCAACACACUCUACAGGGUCGCUACAGCAGUGUAGCGGCAGCCCCUGGCCACUUUCAGAAGUGGAGCACUUGGUUCGUAGCCGCAGAAGCUGCUUUAGCGGUCAAAACAGCGGCUUGUUGCGACCUCAAUAGUGCCACACCUGGUGUAAGUUAUCCUCCAAAUUAAAACAAUUAGGAAUAAAGGCAUGCGAUCUCUUUGGUAAUGAAUCUGAGUUGUCACUCAUAUUCAAACAAGCCAGAUCCGGUCACAACUAAUGAUGAUAAUCGUAAAACCCAGUGGCUACCACCGCCGCCAAAAUUCACCGUCGACAUGGAAAAAUCACACCUGGAUUUAACCCUCUUUCGAUUAGCUUUCUACACUUAUGUUCAACCCUCUUUCGAUUAAUUUUCUAUAUUUAUGUACAAAAAUGAAAAUGCCAAGUGUUUAAUUAUUUUUAUUGUACCAAGUGUUUAAUUUUGUGUAUUGGGUUUCCGGAUUCAUCUUUUUGAAUUUAUUGUAUUUAGGUACUGCACUGCAGUGUUACCAAGAUCCACCAUGACUGUUAUACAUGGCGGUUUUUGGGCUCGCCGCAAUGGUAAAUGUUGGUCGAUAUUGCAGGUUUUUCCGCUAUAACGGCGGCCCAAAGUGGCCAAUAUUGCGGGAUUUUGACUCUCCACCAUGGAGUGCUAUCCGUCAUUGACAACAACACUGCUGCACGGUAAGGUGAAGCAGAAUACCAUAGGGAAGACUCGAAUGGACCGUGUUUAGUCUCACAACAAAUGGAAGCUUGCUUGAAUGAAACAUUCAAGAACAAAAUCCCUAUAAUUAAAAGGACAGUUUAAAUCAACCUUUUGCGCUAAACCUUGUGUAUUUCUAGGUUAUUACUACUACAAAAGCAGUCAAUUGUCAUUUUGCUGGAUGCUUUGCAAAGAAUGCAGUCACACUUAGCUGCAGUUUCAAAUGGUGCCUUUUUUACAGGU